GUAGGUGGCAAGCGUUGUCCGGAAUUAUUGGGCGUAAAGCGCGCGCAGGUGGUUCUUUAAGUCUGAUGUGAAAGCCCCCGGGCUCAACCGGGGAGGGUCAUUGGAAACUGGGGAACUUGAGUGCAGGAGAGGAAAGUGGAAUUCCACGUGUAGCGGUGAAAUGCGUAGAUAUGUGGAGGAACACCAGUGUCGAAGGCGACUUUCUGGCCUGUAACUGACACUGAGGCGCGAAAGCGUGGGGAGCAAACAGGAUUAGAUACCCUGGUAGUCCACGCCGUAAACGAUGAGUGCUAAGUGUUGGGGGGUUUCCGCCCCUCAGUGCUGCAGCUAACGCAUUAAGCACUCCGCCUGGGGAGUACGGUCGCAAAGACUG
RNAcentral lists this ribosomal RNA (373 nucleotides) under uncultured organism. Its description in RNAcentral is "partial 16S ribosomal RNA". It matches the Rfam family "Bacterial small subunit ribosomal RNA", at positions 527 to 896 of the family's 1533-position model. The record is from RNAcentral.